GGAACCUGUAUGUCUUCUUCUUCUCUUUCCCAUUUACUGAAAAUACUUUAACUUCUGUUUCCAUCCAUUUUCAACUCAAUUUAACAUGCGUGGCUAGUGUUUAGAAAAUUCAGGGUGUAUUUAGUUUUCGAAAAUAGAAGUAUCUCUAUUUCUCUGAAUGGAAUAACAGAUAAGAUGUUUCAUAGUCUGGAAUGCAAAAUAAUUAUUAGAGAGUGUACAUUAAUUAGGGUGGAGGAUUUUGGGUAUAUAGUCAAUACUUUGACAAACUUGUAAAUAUUUUGUGUAUAGGAGGUACCUCUUGGGAUCAUCAAUUCUUUACUACAUUUUUUACAGUUUUACUUUCAAAAAAAGAAAAAAAAGGGGAUUGGUAUUUUGUAUCAGUUAAGGGCUUGGUUUUUAUGGCCUGGUAUAUCAUAAGUCACAAUGCAUUUUCAGAUCGCAAUUCGGGUAUUUUAAUUUUAUCUUUAUGAAGACUUUUCCCCUUCGUAUUUUGUGUAAAAUUACCAAAUCAAAAGGUAUAAGAAAAGAUGUCCUAUUUAUAUAAUAACUUAUUUAACUAAUAUAAAUUGGUC
RNAcentral lists this long non-coding RNA (572 nucleotides) under Carica papaya (papaya). RNAcentral's name for it is "long non-coding RNA (CPAP_LNC013849)". Lineage: Eukaryota; Viridiplantae; Streptophyta; Magnoliopsida; Brassicales; Caricaceae. The record is from RNAcentral.